AAGUCGUAACAAGGUUUCCGUAGGUGAACCUGCGGAAGGAUCAUUAACAAGUCCUGCUGUGCGUGCGGAGCAAUAUGCAUGUGCACAUCCGUUCCAUGUGCCCCGCACAUGACAUUUCUGCGAGUCGUCUGAUUGUCGCUUUAAAUCAUACAAA
Molecule: unclassified non-coding RNA, 154 nt
Filed under: plant metagenome
Description: partial contains small subunit ribosomal RNA and internal transcribed spacer 1
Rfam family: Eukaryotic small subunit ribosomal RNA (bases 1-46)
Source: RNAcentral